UCAGUGGUAGGACACUUGCCUCACCCCAUAAGGUCUUGAUUUUAAGUAAAUAAAUAAGAGAGUUGGCUUGGCAUUUUAUUCAAACGCUGGACAGCAGAAAGGAAUAGCUAUGGCUCUCUGGUAAUGUCUAACCAGCUUCUAUACCACCGUCUCAAGCCAGUCCUGUUUGUCUAUUUCCUACUCUUAGCUUUUACCUCUGGGGUAUUUUAAAGCACGCCUUAGAGAUCACACUGUUUUACCCACAGGUGAUCCUGUGGGCGUCCUUACUGUAAGGACUGAGAGUGCCAGUGUUUUCAUGACAAACAGCACAGACUUACACAACAGACGGUUGUUUUUCUUGUAGAUCUGGAAGCCAGAAAUCCAGAUCAAAGUGCUAUCAGGGUUAGUGUUAUGAUUUCGGUAGGAAAUAUCCCUUACAGGCUGUGUGAGCACUGCUUCCAAGCUGGGGCAACUAUUUUGGGGAUGCUGUGGAACCCUUGGGAAGAAGAGACUACUCAGACUAUGAUGAUGCCCAGGUUUCUCCUGCAUCAUCAUGGAUGUCACCACAACCCAGACAAUGUGGGCCUUCUGAAGAUGGGAGUGUGAAGUGAAGAAGAGUAAACCCAGUGGUGUCCGGAACCUGUGAUACCACUCUGGCAGAGGAGUACUUACAAAGAGCAGAUGUGUGUACGUGUCUGGCCUCUGGCUCCUGCUACACUGUCAAUACUGGAUCCUCACCAGGACUCCUCUUGGAUAUCCUGUUGUUGCCCUGUGUCAUGGAGAUUCUGUGGAUGUUGGGGCACCCAGCAAAUGACUGUGAAUCAGAGAGACUUCCUUCUAGGUUUAUCCCAGGCGUGUUCUGUUGAGAACGGAGCAACUACUGAACCACAGGAAGGUGGCUACUGAUGGAAUCACCAGGGGUGACCGUGGAGAUUGACAAAGAGGACGGGCGAGUAGUUCUGGCUGGAGAGAAUGGUUUCGAAUAAAACCACAGCUCAGGUUUUUGA
Molecule: small RNA, 986 nt
Filed under: Rattus norvegicus (Norway rat)
Lineage: Eukaryota; Metazoa; Chordata; Mammalia; Rodentia; Muridae
Description: uncharacterized LOC102550037
Source: RNAcentral